This 1211-nucleotide long non-coding RNA is filed under the name Ananas comosus (pineapple). RNAcentral describes it as "long non-coding RNA (ACOM_LNC014626)". The record is from RNAcentral. Lineage: Eukaryota; Viridiplantae; Streptophyta; Magnoliopsida; Poales; Bromeliaceae.
AUAUAUAUAUAUAUAUAUAUAGAACAAGACUGGAAUAGUAUUAAUAGCAUCUAUUAGAUUUUCGGUCUUUGAAUGAAAAAACGUACGGUUAUGAUGAUAUCGGCCCUCUAGGGUUGAGUGAAUUAUUUAUCGAAUAGUAUAUCUAACGGGUAAAAAUAGUCAAGGCGUUAAAGAUAACGGCGGAAAACUCGAUAGCACAAAGUACUUAAUACUAUCGAUAGUAUCCCAAUCGGACUAUAUAUAUAUAUUAUUCAUAGUUUAUAUAUUUUUUUAAAAAUUUGACCAUACAUAAUUUAUUUACACUAUCUAAAAAAAUAUUUGCAUUAAUUAAAAAAGUCAAACUAUUUGUUAUUUUAUAUUAUAUAUGUAUAAAAAUAAGUAAUAAGAACUAGAUUGGAAUACUAUUAAUAGCACCAAUAACUUAGUGCUAUUAAGUUUUCUAUAUUUGGAUUAAAAUAUGUGCGGUUAGGAUGAUGUGGGCUCCCUAGGGUUGAGUGGGUGGUUAGUUGAAUAGUAUAACCGAACGGAUGAAAAUUAUAAAAGAUGUAAAUCUAACGGCAGAAAACUUGAUAGCACAAUGCUUAGUGCUAUUGAUAGCAUCCUAGCCAGACUCUAAGUAUAUAUAUAUAUAUAUAUAUAUAUGGCUGAGCUGGAAUAUUAUUAGCAGUAAACGAGUUUUAUUGCCAUUCAUUUACUUUCGAUAAUGGAGUCUCGAAAUCGACGAUUGGUACUGUUGAAUAUGAUCUAUACUACUUGAAGUAAAAUCAAAUUUUAGAUCUUUUCGACAUCAUUGACCUAAUGAUCAAAAGGUUUCAAAAUUUAUAAUUUUAAUAAUCGAUAUCAGACGUUUUCUUGAUUAACUGUAUAAAUAUAUUCAAAUCAAUUGAAUUUUGGUUAGAAAAUUCUUUAAAUUAUUUAGAACAAGAUCUAUACUCUCGAUGUUGAUUACAAGAUUCCUGUCGUAAUUUUUUAAAAGAUUUUUAGCCUUUCAUUUUUUGUCCACUUGAUGGACAAGAGAACAAUAUCGGAAAAGUAUGAAAUUUGAUUUCUAAAUACUUCAAGUAGUGCCGAUUGUCGAUUUGGAACCUCUACCAUCGAAAACAAAUAGAUGGUAACGAAGCCUGUUUACUACCGAUAGUAUUUCAGCUCAACUCAUAAUCCGAUUUAUACCACUUGAAACGUCUAGAAGUUAAAUUUCAUACUUUUUUGAU